GAGGAGGAGGUGGUGGUUGAGAUGAGGAGGUGGUGGUGGUUGAGAGGAGGUGGUGGUUGAGAGAAGGAGGUGGUGGUGGUUGAGAGAAGGAGGUGGUGGUGUUUGUUGAGAGAAGGAGGUGGUGGUGGUUGAGAGGAGGUGGUGGUGGUGGUUGAGAGGAGGUGGUGGUGGUGGUUGAGAGGAGGUGUUGGUGGUUGAGAGGUGGUGGUGGUUGAGAGGAGGAGGUGGUGGUGGUUGAGAGGAGGAGGUGGUGGUGGUUGAGAGGAGGUGGUGGUGGUGGUGGUUGAGAGGAGGUGGUGGUGGUUGAGAGGAGGAGGUGGGGGUGAGGAGGUGGAGGAGGUGGUGGUUGAGAGGAGGUGGUGGUUGAGAGGAGGUGGUGGUGGUGGUGGUGGUGGUUGAGAGGAGGAG
Long non-coding RNA from Oncorhynchus tshawytscha (Chinook salmon), 408 nucleotides. NCBI's taxonomy places the organism in Eukaryota, Metazoa, Chordata, Actinopteri, Salmoniformes, Salmonidae. The record is from Ensembl.